RNAcentral lists this signal recognition particle RNA (301 nucleotides) under Macaca nemestrina (pig-tailed macaque). RNAcentral describes it as "Metazoan signal recognition particle RNA (ENSMNEG00000015160.1)". It matches the Rfam family "Metazoan signal recognition particle RNA". From Rfam's summary of the family: The signal recognition particle (SRP) is a universally conserved ribonucleoprotein. It is involved in the co-translational targeting of proteins to membranes. The record is from RNAcentral. Lineage: Eukaryota; Metazoa; Chordata; Mammalia; Primates; Cercopithecidae.
GGCGUGUGAGAAAUAAGAGUCUCACAUGUAGUCCCAGCCACUCAGGAGUCUAAGGCUGGAAGAUUGCUUGAGUCCAGGAGUUCUGGACUGUAGUGCACUAGGUUGCUUUGGUGUCUGCAGUAAGUUCCAGCAUCAAUCUGGUGAGCUCCUGUGAGCAUGGAACCACCAGGUUGCCUAAGGAGGGUGAACCAUCCCAGGUUGGAACGGAGAAGGUCAAACUCCUGUGCUGAUCAGUAGUGGGAUCACACCUGUGAACAGCCACUGCACUCCAGCCUGGGCAAUAUAGUGAGACCCCUACCUC